UGAGGAAUAUUGCACAAUGGGGGCAACCCUGAUGCAGCAACGCCGCGUGGAGGAUGAAGGCUUUUGAGUUGUAAACUCCUUUUCUGAGGGAAGAGUAAGGACGGUACCUCAGGAAUAAGGCCCGGCUAACUACGUGCCAGCAGCCGCGGUAAUACGUAGGGGUCAAGCGUUAUCCGGAAUUACUGGGCGUAAAGAGCGUGUAGGCGGCCCGGUAAGUCCGCCGUGAAAACCUGGGGCUCAACCCUGGGCGUGCGGUGGAUACUGCUGGGCUAGAGGAUGGUAGAGGCGAGUGGAAUUCCCGGUGUAGCGGUGAAAUGCGCAGAGAUCGGGAGGAACACCAGUAGCGAAGGCGGCUCGCUGGGCCAUUCCUGACGCUGAGACGCGAAAGCGUGGGGAGCGAACAGGAUUAGAUACCCCGGUAGUCC
This 425-nucleotide ribosomal RNA is filed under the name uncultured prokaryote. RNAcentral's name for it is "bacterial SSU rRNA". It matches the Rfam family "Bacterial small subunit ribosomal RNA", at positions 355 to 796 of the family's 1533-position model. The record is from RNAcentral.